UGGCUCUUGGUUCAAUCGGGCAGAACGUCGGACUCUGGAUCCGAAGAUCCUGGUUCGAAUCCAGGAGAGCCAG
Molecule: transfer RNA, 73 nt
Filed under: Phycisphaerae bacterium
Lineage: Bacteria; Pseudomonadati; Planctomycetota; Phycisphaerae
Description: tRNA-Gln
Rfam family: tRNA
About the family: Transfer RNA (tRNA) molecules are approximately 80 nucleotides in length. Their secondary structure includes four short double-helical elements and three loops (D, anti-codon, and T loops). Further hydrogen bonds mediate the characteristic L-shaped molecular structure. tRNAs have two regions of fundamental functional importance: the anti-codon, which is responsible for specific mRNA codon recognition, and the 3' end, to which the tRNAs corresponding amino acid is attached (by aminoacyl-tRNA synthetases). tRNAs cope with the degeneracy of the genetic code in two manners: having more than one tRNA (with a specific anti-codon) for a particular amino acid; and 'wobble' base-pairing, i.e. permitting non-standard base-pairing at the 3rd anti-codon position.
Source: RNAcentral